RNAcentral lists this ribosomal RNA (231 nucleotides) under uncultured bacterium. RNAcentral describes it as "partial 16S ribosomal RNA". It matches the Rfam family "Bacterial small subunit ribosomal RNA", at positions 15 to 237 of the family's 1533-position model. The record is from RNAcentral.
GAUCAUGGCUCAGGAUGAACGCUAGCUACAGGCUUAACACAUGCAAGUCGAGGGGCAGCAUGAACUUAGCUUGCUAAGUUUGAUGGCGACCGGCGCACGGGUGAGUAACACGUAUCCAACCUGCCGAUGACUCGGGGAUAGCCUUUCGAAAGAAAGAUUAAUACCCGAUGGCAUAAUUCUUCCGCAUGGUAGAACUAUUAAAGAUUCAUCGGUAUGCGAUGGGGAUGCGUU